CACCCCCUUCUACCCUUUUGCAUCUUGGGGUGGGGCUAUUUCACUCCAUUUCCGGCCCCAGCACACCCUGCACUUUGUCCCCAGCCGGAAGCUCAGCUUGCACACCCACCCUCGCCACCCUGAAGGCUGUCUGAUGGGACUCCUUUCCCUUUCUUGGCUUCCAGGGUGCAAGCUGUAAAAAGGAAGAGGUGGGAUUUCAGGAAGGUGAUUGGAUCAUUGGGGCAUGAUGCUCAUUACUGGAUUACCGGCUGGCCUGCUCAUCACUGCCAAGUGGGACUUGGUGACAGCCCCAGAGCCGUGCAGAGCAAAGGUUGAGAGGCAGCAGUUCCAGGGCUACCUGGCAGAUGCUUGCACCCCCAUCCAGACUUCAGAGCAGCGCAACCAUUGGUGACAGCAACCAGAAGGAGAUUAUGGAGCAGACCGGACGUGAGAACACAUUCCAGCGUAACUGUCUCCGUCACCCAGAUGCGGGAAGACAAGCUCAGAGCUCCCACUGGUUCUGUAUGGUGGUGAAUGGUACAAUUAUUCCAUUAAAUAUCACACUGUCAAAAUAGAAAUA
Molecule: long non-coding RNA, 559 nt
Organism: Cavia porcellus (domestic guinea pig)
Lineage: Eukaryota; Metazoa; Chordata; Mammalia; Rodentia; Caviidae
Exons: 4
Source: RefSeq, a predicted model, not a curated record